Molecule: ribosomal RNA, 414 nt
Filed under: Parasagitta setosa
Lineage: Eukaryota; Metazoa; Chaetognatha; Sagittoidea; Aphragmophora; Sagittidae
Description: partial 28S ribosomal RNA
Source: RNAcentral
UGAGGGAAAGCUGCAAAGUACUCUGAAGAGAGAGUUCAAAAGGACGUGAAGCCGUCUGCAGGGAAACGGGUGAGACCGCACGGUAGACCCACGGCGGAUUCAGCUCCGAGGGCAACUUCGGGGUGCACUUCCGCNCNAGUGGGUCGCGCAGGNCCCGGCUCGACGGCCGUCUGAAGCCCGGAGAGGAGGUGACGGGGUUCUUCGGAACUCCGAGUUUAACUCUUCGGCGCGGAGACCGGUUGUUGGGUCGAGGACGUCCAUCCGUCUUUGACGCGUGGGUUUUGGUCGGCUCGCUGGUUCGACUGGGUUGGAGCCCGUCUCCGAUGGGCUGCUCUCGACUGCCAGUGGGUUCUUCCGAGGCUUUUCGCCGGAUGACUAGGACACCUGUGCUCAGGUCGGCACCUCACCCGACCC